RNAcentral lists this long non-coding RNA (1522 nucleotides) under Homo sapiens (human). RNAcentral describes it as "novel transcript, sense overlapping KCNA1". The record is from RNAcentral. Lineage: Eukaryota; Metazoa; Chordata; Mammalia; Primates; Hominidae.
AGGCUGGAGCCCUCUGCUUGGGAGAUGCGUUUCUCUGCCACGGUGUCAGUUGUCAUGCCUUAGCGGAGUGCCCGAGGGGAGGGGCAGGAGGCCCCUUGGAUGGGCUGGCACUGCGCCCCUGCUGCUGUCAGAGUGACUCAGAUCCCCUCCUGGCACCAGCCUGCUCAGGCAGUGCAAGCUGUUCCUUUGGCUCCUGGAGAUUGGGCUGGUUCUUCACUUCUUCCUCCCCUAGGACUGAGGCCAGGGAGGAGGGGUGCGGAUUUCUGUGUUUCCACCCUUUUCUCUUCUCCCAGCACAGGGGUGCGAGAGGAGGAAGUGGAGGCUGCAGUGCUGGGCUCUGGGUUCAUUCCCUGUGAUUCCUCUGGGCUGCCCCAAGUCCUGCUCAGCACAUACACAACAGGACACCAGGUGUGCUGGACAAAUGACCAGGCAGUGUGGUACUUGAAUGCAAGGGUUUCCUGAAAAGUUACCAUCAAAAACUGGGUCAGGUGGACGAAUGCAGAUGGAACAUCGGCAGUGAUUUCCUCUGAGUAAUGACGUGCCCUAAGAUUGUUCAGCACAGAGGACUUAAGCCACAGAAGGGAAAAGAAACGUUGAAAUCAGCCAAGGGAAGAAGCACAUAGUCUAGGAACAAUUCAAAAUGUGGAGAUCCAGCUGGGUGCAGUGGCUCUUGCCUGUAAUCCCAACACUUUGGGAGGCAGAGGCAUCUUCCUGGAGACAGGAAGGUAGGCACUGUGGAAUCAGCGGUGCGUAGAACAGUGAGGAUUUGGGGCUGAACCCAGCCCAGGUGGGCCAAGCCGUGGCACCAGCCGGACUGCAGUCUGAUGGAACUUCCCCUUCCUGCCCAGCAGAUGGCGAGCGUGUGCUGCUGGUGCCUCUUUCCAAAGGACGUUGAAUUGCUUGACAGGUGUUCUUUACUUUAUGAAUGAAGCCAGAGCAGCCCACCUUCCUGCAUCUCUACCACCAUGGCACCAUGCCCUGUGAUGGGUGGGCUGGAGUCAAAUAUGUAGCAGGCAGCCAGGGUCAGUUUGUGGCCACUGCUGCCCCCUCUUCCUACAGUCUCCUCACUGAGUGCCCCUUCCCUGUUGGGUUCAACACAUCUGUGCUCCUGUAAGCCCUCAGCCUCCUCGUUCUCUUCCUCAACUUCUACCACCAGACACAUCUGAGAAGCAAGCAAGAGAGGCUGAACUAGGAGCAGGACCCAGGGACUGAAACCAGCACAGCAUCCCCACAGAGAAUUGGGUGGAAGGCAGCAUGGCUUCCAGCUUACUGGUGCUGAGCAGAUUGCUCUGGGUCUCCAUUGUAUCCUCUGAAGGAAGGAGGAGGAUUGCCUUCUGUCCAGAUCUCAGGAUCAAACAAAUAGGUCCAAUUUCCUGUGCUCACUUCAGUUAGAGCACUUCUCAUGUGACUUUGUAGCUUUGUGUGCAUCUCCUUCCUCUACUAGACCUAAGCCCCUCACGGGAGGGACUCUCUUAUUCUUGAUGUUCCCCACACCUGGAAUUUCAAUAAACAUCUCAAUAAA